GCUUAGCCCUUAACAUAGACAGUACUACACACAAUACUGUUCGCCAGAGAACUACAAGUGAAAAGCUAGAAACUCCAAGGACUUGGCGGUGCUCCAUACCGACCUAGAGGAGCCUGUCCUAUAAUCGAUAAUCCACGCUUUACCUCACCACUUCUUGCAACUCAGCCUAUAUACCGCCGUCGUCAGCCCACCUUAUGAAAGAAACAAAGUGGACAAAAUAGUUAACAACAAAAACGUCAGGUCAAGGUGUAGCACAUGAAGUGGAAGAGAUGGGCUACAUUUUCUAACAUAGAACACACGAAUAACACAGUGAAACCUGCAUUUAAAGGCGGAUUUAGCAGUAAGACAAACAAGAAACUUUGUCUUAACCCCGCUCUGGAGCGCGC
Molecule: ribosomal RNA, 386 nt
Filed under: Trachylepis brevicollis (Short-necked skink)
Lineage: Eukaryota; Metazoa; Chordata; Lepidosauria; Squamata; Scincidae
Description: partial 12S ribosomal RNA
Rfam family: Bacterial small subunit ribosomal RNA
Source: RNAcentral